GUUUGAAGGAUCCACAUUUUCAGGUGUGGGUGGGUGGGCGAGAGCUUUGCUUUCCUUUUACACCCAGUGGCCUGCAGUUCAGGAUUCAAAUGAACUCAUCUUUCAUUCCUUCUUUCAGGGAAGAGUCACUAAACUCUGUGCUGGGCAUAGAGAGAUGAGCGAGCCACAGCCCUUACUCUCAGGAUGCUCCUAGUCUGCUGGGACAGUGGAAAUAAAUCCAGGAGUCCAGCUCUCUUGCCCAGGCUGGAGUACAGUGGCGCCAUCUUGGCUGACGGCACCCUCUGCCUCCCAGGUUCAAGCGAUUCUCCUGCCUCAGCCUCCUGUGUUGCAGGAAGUCAGGAACCCCGAAUGGAGGGACCGGCUGGAGCUGCGGCAGAGGAACAUAAAUUGUGAAGAUUUCAUGGACAUUUAUCAGUUCCCAAAUAAUGCUCUUAUAAUUUCUUAUGCCUGUCUUUACUUUAAUCUCUUAAUCCUGUUAUCUUCAUAAGCUGAGAAUGUAUGUCACCUCAGGACCACUAUUGUAUAAAUUGAUUGUAAAAUGUGUGUUUCAACAAUAUGAAAUCAGGGCACCUUGAAAAAGAACAGAACAACAGCGAUUUUCAGGGAACAAGGGAAGACAACCAUAAAGUCUGGCUGCCUACGGGGUCAGGCAGAAUAGAGCCAUAUUUUUCUUCUUGCAGAGAGCCUAUAAACAGAUGUGCAAGUAGGAGAGAUAUCGCUAAAUUCUUCUCCUAGCAAGGAAUAUUUAAUAUUAAGACCCUAGGAAAAGAAUUGCAUUCCUUGGGGGAGGUCUAUGAAUGGCCGCUCUGGGAGUAUCUGUCCUGUGUGAUUGAGAUAAGGACUGAAAUACAACCUGGUCUCCUGCAGUACCCUCAGGCUUAUUAGGGUGGGGGAAAAAAUCCCACUGUGGUAAAUUUGAGGUCGGACCAGUUCUCUGCUCUCGAACCCUGUUUUCUGUUGUUUAAGAUGUUUAUCAAGACAAUACGUGCACAGCUGAACAUAGACCCUCAUCAGUAAUUCUAAUUUUGCCCUUUGCCUUGUGAUCUUUGAUUUUGUCCUUGCCCUAUUUCCUCAGAAGCAUGUGAUCUUUGCUCUGCCUUUUGCCCUUUGAAGCAUGUGACUUUGUGACCUACUCCCUGUUUGUACAGCCCCUCCCCUUUUGAAAUCCCUAAUAAAAACUUGCUGGUUUUGUGGCUCAGGUGGGCAUCACGGAUCUACCAAUACGUGAUGUCACCCCCAGCAGCCCAG
Molecule: long non-coding RNA, 1248 nt
Filed under: Homo sapiens (human)
Lineage: Eukaryota; Metazoa; Chordata; Mammalia; Primates; Hominidae
Description: HSALNT0385695
Source: RNAcentral